Pelobates cultripes (western spadefoot toad) is the source of this 349-nucleotide non-coding RNA. NCBI's taxonomy places the organism in Eukaryota, Metazoa, Chordata, Amphibia, Anura, Pelobatidae. The record is from the annotation of a GenBank genome assembly.
GGCUGACUAAGUCAAGUAUGCUGAGGAGACACACUCUUUCAUCCCCCCACCUUUUAUUAUUAUUUCUUACUGAUAUACCAUUAACAUAUUCUGCAGAGCUGUAUAGUACAGGAAAUACAGAGAAAUAAUAAACAUGUACAAAAGGAACAAAAGACACUGCCCGUGAAUUUUAUAUAAAGUGCACAGCAAGGUACUAUAGUGACCGAAGCAACAUUAGAUUAAUAAAACCAGUUUUUGAGUAUAGAGCAUACCUCCUCUGAAAUUUGACUGCUCAAUUCACUCAGUUUAGGAGUUAAAACACUUUUGUUUCUGUUUAUGCAGCCCUAUUUACACCUCCCCUGGCUGUGAC